UGGUUCUGGCAUCGAUGAAGAACGCAGCGAAAUGCGAUAAGUAAUGUGAAUUGCAGAAUUCAGUGAAUCAUCGAAUCUUUGAACGCACAUUGCGCCCUCUGGUAUUCCGGGGGGCAUGCCUGUUCGAGCGUCAUUACAACCCUCAAGCUCUGCUUGGUAUUAGGCUCCACCUGCUACAGGCGGGCCUUAAAAUCAGUGGCGGUGCCAUCUGGCUUCAAGCGUAGUAAUAUUUCUCGUUUGGGAGUACCGGUUGCGUACCUGCUAAAAAACCCCAAUUUUUAAAGGUUGACCUCGGAUCAGGUAGGGAUACCCGCUGA
This 317-nucleotide unclassified non-coding RNA is filed under the name uncultured fungus. RNAcentral's name for it is "partial contains 5.8S ribosomal RNA and internal transcribed spacer 2". The stretch from base 1 to 133 matches the Rfam family "5.8S ribosomal RNA", at positions 22 to 154 of the family's 154-position model. The record is from RNAcentral. Lineage: Eukaryota; Fungi.